AAAGUACUAUAAUAAAUUUUAUUUCUACUUGUAAUUGCACAGCUCUUUUAAAAUCUGAUUGAGGUGCUAAAGAAAAUCAAAGAAAUUAUGAAAAUUUUCUUUCUUUUUAAGUAAUGCCUGCAAACAAUACCUUACCAAAGUGAAUUGGUUUUGUUUAGUAUCCUCAGAAAGGUCUUCAUUAUUAAAAAAGAAAAAAAAUGCCAUGAGAGGAUUUGUCUCUGAGCUUAUUUCAAAACAAAAAAUAUGGAGAAAGUAUAGCAAUGUUUCUAGAAAUGAAGCUAUUUAGGACAGAAUAAAAAUAAAUAAAUAAGAAAUAUUUAAUCACCUAGUAGCUAAAUAAAUAAACCUUUCCAAAAAGAAAAGGCAAAGCCUGGUCCUCACUGUGUUUUUUUACCUGAUAAAUUCCCUUUGUAUGCAAAACAUUUCCAUUAUUCACAUAUCCUUGUCUGUUUAAGGCAAGGCAAUAAAACUACUAUUGGGCUACACAGCCAACAGAGCAAGUGAGUUGUUUGUGUUUCUUCUCCACAGGGCAUUUUGUUUGGUCUCAAAAUUUUUUUUGUGGCCAUAUAGAAAUAAUCUACUUUUGGUGUCAUGUGAAAAAACUUUACACAGAAAAAUCUGUACUUAUACAUUCUUUUUUGGGAUUUUAUUGUGCUAAAAAGUAGAAUUCACACCGGCCAAAAAAAAAAAAAAAAACCCAAACAUGCAAAAUAUUUUUGUGCACACACCUCGAACACACUACAUUCCACCAUUGAAGAUUUUGAAAUCUUAAAAUUAAAAAAAAAAUCCCAAAGCAAGAGUACCUGGGUUGAAAAGUUAACAUUAUACAAGCUAGAUUCCUAACACAAACACUGCAGACACAAGUCACUCCAUUGCAAAAAGUUAAUGUUUAUAAGGCUUAAAUAAAUGUCAACAAUGAAGAGACAAAAACCGUAGAUCCAAAGUGUACUCCCCACCAGGAAGUAUUAAAAAUUGAUGUUGUAGUACAUCCAUGAUAUUAACUUCAAAUAGAUACCACCUUAGCCCCAAAGUUACGCCAAACUCGCAAACACCAAGGGAACCAUAUUCAAAACUACCUUCUUUUUCUGCUACCUUUAAAAUGGUUUUAUAUUUGUUUUGUGUGUUUGGUAAAUAAGAGUCCCUCAGAAUCUACACUAGCUCUGAGAUGUAGAAAAAUUGAUUCGAUCAAUGACCUCCUCUGAAUGAUGAAGUUGUCCUCUGAGAUGCGUCACUUUUCUGUUUAAUGAUCAUGUACUUUGUAGUGAUCGUGUGUGUGUGUGUGUGUGUGUGUGUGAGUGUGUGUGUCUCUGUGUCUGUGUUUGCGCGCGCACGUGUAAACCCUUUUAAAAAACUCUAAACUCUAGGGAACAUUUUUUUUUCCUUUCCUCGAGACCAGUCCCUAAAAAUGUGUUGUUUUGUUUUUGUUUUUGUUUUU
This is a long non-coding RNA of Neofelis nebulosa (Clouded leopard), 1435 nucleotides long. RefSeq lists it as uncharacterized. NCBI's taxonomy places the organism in Eukaryota, Metazoa, Chordata, Mammalia, Carnivora, Felidae. The record is from RefSeq and is a predicted model, not a curated record. The transcript has 2 exons.